CAGUAGCCGCGGGAAUACGUAGGGGGCUAGCGUUAUCCGGAUUUACUGGGCGUAAAGGGUGCGUAGGUGGUCCUUCAAGUCGGUGGUUAAAGGCUACGGCUCAACCGUAGUAAGCCGCCGAAACUGGAGGACUUGAGUGCAGGAGAGGAAAGUGGAAUUCCCAGUGUAGCGGUGAAAUGCGUAGAUAUUGGGAGGAACACCAGUAGCGAAGGCGGCUUUCUGGACUGCAACUGACACUGAGGCACGAAAGCGUGGGUAGCAAACAGGAUUAGAUACCCCAGUAGUCCCUGUCUCUUAUACA
This 301-nucleotide ribosomal RNA is filed under the name uncultured bacterium. RNAcentral describes it as "partial 16S ribosomal RNA". It matches the Rfam family "Bacterial small subunit ribosomal RNA", at positions 509 to 808 of the family's 1533-position model. The record is from RNAcentral.